Molecule: ribosomal RNA, 468 nt
Filed under: uncultured bacterium
Lineage: Bacteria
Description: partial 16S ribosomal RNA
Rfam family: Bacterial small subunit ribosomal RNA
Source: RNAcentral
GACGAACGCCGGCGGCGUGCUUAACACAUGCAAGUCGAACGGAAAGGCCCUGCUUUUGUGGGGUGCUCGAGUGGCGAACGGGUGAGUAACAAGUGAGUAACCUGCCCUUGACUUUGGGAUAACUUCAGGAAACUGGGGCUAAUACCGGAUAGGAGCUCCUGCUGCAUGGAGGGGGUUGGAAAGUUUCGGCGGUUGGGGAUGGACUCGCGGCUUAUCAGCUUGUUGGUGGGGUAGUGGCUUACCAAGGCUUUGACGGGUAGCCGGCCUGAGAGGGUGACCGGCCACAUUGGGACUGAGAUACGGCCCAGACUCCUACGGGAGGCAGCAGUGGGGAAUAUUGCACAAUGGGCGGAAGCCUGAUGCAGCAACGCCGCGUGCGGGAUGACGGCCUUCGGGUUGUAAACCGCUUUCGCCUGUGACGAAGCGUGAGUGACGGUAAUGGGUAAAGAGGCACCGGCUAACUACGUG